UCAGAAACAAAUAGCUACAGAAGCUGCACUUUAACAGCAAUUGCAGCUGGGCCAUGAUCAUAGUAUUUUCUUUUGCAAUUCUGGCGUCCAGGCGCCCCAAAGCGAAAUGGUGGUGGGCUCUAUCGGAAAUUCUUAAUUCUCGUGUGCUGCGAUUGCAAGUUGGAGCAAGAAUGCACAAGGGAUCUGAGAACAGUGCCCAAGCUAUUCUGAAAAGGAUGCUAUGCCUCCGCAAAAAGAAGUGAAGUGAGAGGGCUGGGUAGACAGGGAGAGGAGGAAAGCGGAGGUGAAAAAAGUGAAUGAUGAAUGGGAGAGGGGUGUGGUGGUGGACUAUGGGCUAUGGUCUAUGGAAUGUGAGAUAGCAAGAGAAAGGGAGGAGAGUAGGACCCCAUGGGUUAAAGAAAGACAAACUCCACCACUUCAUGAUGAUAUUCCUCCACCAUUGCCACACCCCCGCCCAUCUCCUCCUGCAUCCCCUUUUUCUACUAGUGUUGCUCUCUUUUGCGCGUGUGAAUGUGUGAUGAAAGGUACUGGUAGCACUGUUGCACGCAUCAUUUGGAUCAAAAGAAGCAUCACAGCACAGGUGUACAACUCAACCUGAAUGAACACUUGCUACUCAUGUAAAUAUUUUUUCCCUUGUUUGGAGCUGACUUGCUACUGCAGUUGAAGGACCUAAAGAAAUUAGCCGAGCAAGUCGAUGGAUCUUUCAGACUUCUACAAGGAUGGAUCUUGGCAAGUUGCAGCCUUUUGUAGAUGCCUAGAUGGAGACGGGGAAGAAAGUCGGUACCUUGAAGGAUUUGCUGCCGGAUUUG
RNAcentral lists this long non-coding RNA (809 nucleotides) under Setaria italica (foxtail millet). Its description in RNAcentral is "long non-coding RNA (SITA_LNC000777)". The record is from RNAcentral. Lineage: Eukaryota; Viridiplantae; Streptophyta; Magnoliopsida; Poales; Poaceae.